GACGAACGCUGGCGGCGUGCUUAACACAUGCAAGUCGAACGGAAAGGCCCUGCUUUUGUGGGGUGCUCGAGUGGCGAACGGGUGAGUAACACGUGAGUAACCUGCCCUUGACUUUGGGAUAACUUCAGGAAACUGGGGCUAAUACCGGAUAGGAGCUCCUGCUGCACGGUGGGGGUUGGAAAGUUUCGGCGGUUGGGGAUGGACUCGCGGCUUAUCAGCUUGUUGGUGGGGUAGUGGCUUACCAAGGCUUUGACGGGUAGCCGGCCUGAGAGGGUGACCGGCCACAUUGGGACUGAGAUACGGGCCAGACUCCUACGGGAGGCAGCAGUGGGGAAUAUUGCACAAUGGGCGGAAGCCUGAUGCAGCAACGCCGCGUGCGGGAUGACGGCCUUCGGGUUGUAAACCGCUUUCGCCUGUGACGAAGCGUGAGUGACGGUAAUGGGUAAAGAAGCACCGGCUAACUACGUG
Molecule: ribosomal RNA, 468 nt
Filed under: uncultured bacterium
Lineage: Bacteria
Description: partial 16S ribosomal RNA
Rfam family: Bacterial small subunit ribosomal RNA
Source: RNAcentral